CCACACUCUCACACAAAAGCAAAGGGCUCCACCCUCCACCCAUCUCCUCUAUAUACCAAAGCCUCGCUCCCUUAACUCUCUACGUUUCCUCCCUCGCCUGUUCUCUUUUCAUUUCCGCACCACCGCCACUAUCACUAUCAUCUUCUACCGACCUCUGCCAUGUCCGCGAAAGACUGCGGCAACCACGGCCACAAGCGCCGGAAAAUCUUCCGCCGGAUCUUCGCCGGCAUCCUCAUCUUCCUCUUCCUUGUUCUCGUCACCAUCCUCAUAAUCUGGGCCAUCCUCCGCCCUAGCAAGCCUAAGUUCGUUCUCCAAGACGUCACUGUUUACGCCUUCAACGCCUCCAUACCUAACUACCUCACCUCCAACUUCCAAGUCACCUUCUCCUCUCGCAACCCAAAUGACAAAAUUGGUAUCUACUACGACAAGCUCGACGUUUACGCCAACUACCGGAACCAGCAGAUCACUCUCCGUUCAUCAAUCCCACCCACCUACCAAGGCCACAAGGAAAUCAACGUCUGGUCACCUAACAUCUAUGGCACGGCAAUCCCCGUCGCGCCGUACAACGCUUUAGCUCUGAAUCAGGAUGAGUCCACCGGAGCAGUGUUGCUGAUGAUCAAGAUGAAUGGACGGGUGAGAUUCAAAGUUGGAACGUUCAUCUCUGGGAAGUACCAUUUGUACGUCAGAUGUCCUGCUUAUAUACAGUUUGGGAGUAAGACUGCCGGGAUUAUUGUCGGUGAAAAUUCGGUGAAGUACUCGCUGCUUGUAAGCUGCAGUGUAAGUCUGUGAAGAUAGAGAGAGAGAGAGGAAAAUGAUGAAGAAAGAAGAUAACUUGACUUGUAACGCCGUUAAGUUUUUUUAUUUCCUUAAAAUUUAUUUAAAUACCUAUAUUUUUCCCUUUUCGGUGGACGCGUUAUGAAACUGAUGCCUGUCUGUUUUAGAUAUAUAUUAUUAAAGGCUUUGAAUUGUACAUUUCUAUUGAAGUGAAUAAAGGGAAGAAGAAAGCAAAUGAGACGGACGCAGCUAAAAUUACAAUUAAUCUG
This 1043-nucleotide unclassified non-coding RNA is filed under the name Hevea brasiliensis (rubber tree). The record is from RNAcentral. Lineage: Eukaryota; Viridiplantae; Streptophyta; Magnoliopsida; Malpighiales; Euphorbiaceae.